This 395-nucleotide ribosomal RNA is filed under the name Gallotia atlantica atlantica. RNAcentral describes it as "partial 12S ribosomal RNA". It matches the Rfam family "Bacterial small subunit ribosomal RNA", at positions 793 to 1388 of the family's 1533-position model. The record is from RNAcentral. Lineage: Eukaryota; Metazoa; Chordata; Lepidosauria; Squamata; Lacertidae.
UGCUAAGCCGUAAACAUUGAGAGUUAUCUAUACAAUACUUUCCGCCAGAGAACUACAAGUGAAAAACUUGAAACUCAAAGGACUUGGCGGUGUCCCACAUUCGACCUAGAGGAGCCUGUCCUAUAAUCGAUACUCCUCGUUCUACCUCACCAACACUAGCACCCACCAGCCUAUAUACCGCCGUCGACAGCUUACCCCAUGAGGGCAACACAGUAAGCACAAUAGCCCCCCCCGCUAAUACGUCAGGUCAAGGUGUAGCCAAUGUGUUGGCAGAGAUUGGCUACAUUUUUUAAGAUAAAAAAUACGGAAUACUGCAUGAAAAACAGCAUGAAGGCGAAUUUAGUAGUAAAAUAGACAAGAGAGUCUAUUUUAACAACGCUCUGGGACGCGUACAC